RNAcentral lists this ribosomal RNA (1495 nucleotides) under Camponotus concavus. Its description in RNAcentral is "16S ribosomal RNA". The record is from RNAcentral. Lineage: Eukaryota; Metazoa; Arthropoda; Insecta; Hymenoptera; Formicidae.
GUUAUUAAAAAUUUAAUUAGUUAAAUAAAUGAGUCAUUUAAAUAAGUUUUGUACAAUAAAUUUUGUAAUAAGUUUAUAUUAUUUUAAGUUUAAUUAAAAUUAUAAAAAUAAAAUCUAGUUAAAGUAAUUAAAAUAAAAUAAUUAUUAAUAUUAUAGGAAAAGUAAUGUAAGUGAAUAAUAUAUAUAUAUCCAUGAUGUGAUAGGAAAUAUAAAUAAGUAAAUUUAAUUUAUUGUAUCUUUGGUAUCAGGGUUAAUUAAAUGAAAGUUUAAAAUUAAAAAUAAUCUCGAAAGAAAAAGAGUUAAAUAAUUAUGAAAGUUAAUGUGGUAAAGUUAUUUUGAAUAAUUAUUUAGGGGAGAUAUUUUAGUCAAGUUUUUUGAUAUCUAGUUUUUUUUGAUUUAAUUUAAUUUUAAUAUAUAAUAAGGGAUAGUUUAUAAUUAAUUAAGAUUUGAAUCAAUAAUAAGAGGUAAAAUUUAAUAAAUAUAGAGUUAAAGAAAUGAUAUAUAUUAAAAAUUUAUGGGAUAAACUAUAAAUUUAAAAUUAAAAUUAAUUUAGUUUAAAAGUGAAAUUAAGUUUAUAUAAAUAUUCAUAAAAUUUGAAUUUUUUAUAAAUAAUUUAAUAAUUUAUAAAAUUUAUAAUAAUUUAGAAAAUUUAAAAUUUUAGAUUUAAUUGAAUAAAAAAAUAUUUAAAAUAAUAAAAUUUUUAAAGUAAAAAUGAUUAAAUUAGUAUUAAAUUAAAAAAUUGUGAAAUAUAUAUUAUUUAAAAUUUAUUAAAGGAAUUAGGCAAAUAAUAUUAGAUUAGUAGAUAUAUUAAUUUAAUUUUAAAUUCAUCUGUUUAAUAAAAACAUAGUUUUAUGAUGUAGUAUAUAAGAUUAAUUCUGCUCCAUGAUAGUGAAGUUAAAUAGCCGCAGUAUAUUGACUGUGCAAAGGUAGCAUAAUCAGUUGUCUCUUAAUUGGGGACUAGUAUGAAGGAAUAAAUGAAAUUUAAACUGUCUUUAAUAUAGAAUUUAAAAAUUUAAAUUUUUAGUAAGAAUGCUAAGAUAAGAUUAUGGGACGAGAAGACCCUAUAGAAUUUUAUAUAAAAUUUAAAUAGAUUAAUUAUAAGUUUAAUUUUUAUAUUUAAUUGGGAGGAUUAUUAAAUUUAAAGAACUUUAAGAUGAAAAAGUAACAUUAAUUUAUGAGAUUAAAAAAGGAAGAAUAAGAUUUUUAAAAUUUUAUAGUAGAAUUAAUUACCUUAGGGAUAACAGCGUAAUAUUUUUAAAAAGAUCAUAUUGAUAAGAGUGAUUGCGACCUCGAUGUUGAAUUAAAAUAAAAAUUAAAUGGAGAAGUUUAAUAUUUUAGUCUGUUCGACUAUUAAAAUUUUACAUGAUUUGAGUUUAGAUCGGCGUGAGCCAGAUCGGAUUCUAUCUAUAAUUAUGUGGAAACAAUUUUGUACGAAAGGACUAAUUGUUUAAAAUUUUUUUUAUGAUAAUGAUUAGUAAUAAAUUUUAAUUGAAUA